RNAcentral lists this long non-coding RNA (4670 nucleotides) under Coffea arabica (coffee). RNAcentral's name for it is "long non-coding RNA (CARA_LNC001509)". The record is from RNAcentral. Lineage: Eukaryota; Viridiplantae; Streptophyta; Magnoliopsida; Gentianales; Rubiaceae.
GAUCUGUCAACCCAAUGCAUACGUGGUACAAACCCCACCAUUGUAUCAGGUGCACUUUGCCAAAUGCUAAAAGCCAAUUCAACUGAUGAGCAUGGGAAUAUGACAUCAUCAUCAAUCGAAAAUAGAGCAUCUGUCUUCAAAUUCUUGAUCUCUUUGAACCUAUUGUUCAAACUGUCUUCCCUAUUGAUGUCAAAUUUCAGUUCAAUUUGUUGACCAUCUCUGGAGUUUGAUUCUAUGACAUGGUUUAAAUAUUUAAUAAGAGAAACGGAGGGAGGAUCAGGCUCGCUCCAGACUAUGUGUAUAGAAGUAAGCCCAGGACAUGAUGCAUAAUGAGAAAUGGAUUGUUUCAAGAGAUCAUUUCUCUUCCAUGUAUUAAUCAACAAAGCAUAUCCUUUCCUGUAGACAUCAUGAAACACAGCAUUAGAACCAACCACAACUUCUGGUAAUCAUGGCAAGAAAGCAAGAAUAAACUGUGUAGGGGAAGCCAAGUAAGUCAUAAUGGACAAGCGAUAUGAAUAUGAAUGUCAGCAUAUAAUCACAACGAGUAAUACUUUGACCAAUGUCACAACUUAUAUUUAACUCAACCCUAAUAAAUUUGCUUCUGUUCUGCCAAAUCCAGACAGAAGUAUUUCUCAAACUCUAAGUUUGAAGUCUCUGUUGUUAAUGAAUAUAGACCUAGCUCCCGCUCAUACGGUUAUACCAGCUACCUAUGUUCUCUAGCACAUCUGAUCUGAUAACCAAAAAGAGCUUCUCAACAUCUGAAAGAGCUUUCGGCUAGGUUCUCAUUACUUUAAAGACAUUACACGUGUAUCCGGCGGGAGCUAAUUCUAAUACUAUAUAAAAUCCAGUGAAAGAAUACCAUUUUCUCUGUGUCGAAAAGCACGGAAAUAAUUGCACCAGCUGUUCUUGGUAAGAUUAGACGACCAAAGAGCAAAUUUGACCAAACUUUCAAAAUCCCCAAGCAGCAUAACUACAGAAUUACAGUUGUUCAUGUUUAAAUGCCUAUGCAAAGUGGCAAAGGAUCUAAAAAUGAACUGAGCGAUGCAAACUAACUGCAGUAUUAUAUUAUUAGAAGCCAGAUCUCACUUAAGCAAUGUAAUCAUUGAAAUAACGCAAGCCGUCGUGCAAAUGACAGUUUAAUAGACACAGCCAUUGCCGUCUCUAUUUACAUCUAGCACCACCGCAAAAGAAUCAGCCAUACAGAGCAUUAAUCAUCUCCAUAUAGAUUUUCAAAUUCAGAGAGAGAGAGAGAGAAGCAAGCAAUUAUGACUUUAUUCUGCCUUAGAUUUAUAUGCAAAAGUUUCUAAAACAAAACUGCAUUUAGACAAAAACUAGGCAAACAAAGCAGCAUUUUACUGAGCCGAUGUUGAUACACUGUUUCAAUUUAACUUUGUGGGGUUAAGAUACAAGAAAACCCCUCCAUAAUUAGAGUAUCAAUUUAACUUCGAGGGGCUAAGAUACAAGAAAACCCCUCCAUAAUUAAUAAGGCAACUAUACUGGGAAGAUAAUGUACUUCCCCUCUGGCUCUUUCACAAGGAUGAUUUCUGACCUAAGUCCUAAAAGAAUGUUGCUAAACUAAAAUUUUCCUUCUACAUUUGGUAACCAUGUGGAAAGUGGAUACUAUUACAAAAAGACGCUUACAACAAUUGACUUAGGAAGAUGAUUAUGUGGCAAAGAACCACACAAGAUAGAAAAUAAAAGGAACGAAGCCAUCAUCACUAACAUUGCCAACUCCAUCACCAAAACCAACUGCUUCGACUAUCAACAGCUUUCACUGAAGUUGGUACUAAGGGCAUGUGCCCAUAUUCAGCUACAAACCUAUUAACACAUUCUGUCCUCCUAUUGCUGUGACCUCCCAAACUACUGAUCCCUGUGGAACCAAUCUCAUAUAUCUUGCCUGGAUUAACACGAGAAGACGAAUAUCAAGAAAAGUCUCUAAAGUAAAUGAUUUGAAAGUAAUGUUCUUCAGUAGCAGAAUGAAACUCAAUAAAUGACAUUGCAAAGUCAACACAUAUUCUAAGUCAAACAUGAAAAAUGUAGUAAAAAUCAAAAUUGUUUAAUUCGAUAAUUGACAAGAUUGGUAAUGUAAACAAAAACAAAGAAAAUUAACAGGCUAUGUGAUGACAGCAAAAAAUUCUGGCAGACCACUGUUUUCAACUAAGUAUUAGAGUAACAUCUCUACAAGAUUUUUUUUUUUUUUUUUUUUGGUGCAGAGAACUUAACCUGUGCUAACUGCAUUAUCAGCGUUACUAUGCAUUAUUGGCAACUCUUAAGUAGUGUGAUCCUAAGCAGGUCACAGCACCCGUGAUACAAUUCUCCAAGGAUAGGGAUUUAGUUACCAGCCAGAUACAUCCAUAUUACAUACAGAGGCAAACAGAGUCACAGAACAAGAUACCUUAUAGAAGUCUAGUAAGACUGAACCAAACUUGGUAUUGUUGUUUACUAGAGUGAUCUUUUGCAGCCUCAACCAGGACAAAUGUUAAUUUUCUGGUUGAAAGUCCGUGUGUUGAUUGAACAUGUGGGAGGGUGGAGGGGCAUACCAUGAGACGGACAAGGUAGAGCAAUAAAUUCGAAAAAGCAGGCUGAACUAGAAGAUAAGACACGGAUGAAAAGUUGCCUGACAAGCUUCACUUACCUCUUACCCAUAUUGGGGGAACACCAGUAGCAUUUGCAACUAAGAAAGACAUUGCGAUGUCUUCACAAUUCCUAUUCAUUCAAUUGAAUAUAGUUAACUUUGGUAAACAACAGAGCAGCAGGAACAAAAUAAGAGAGACAAACAUCAGAUGAAGCAUGGAAGAAAAUUUCUAGGAUUGAAUAAGAACCUGUUUGUGGUCACAUAUUCUCGAAUCGAUGCAGGCAUUUGAUAAGUAUACAAACUAAGAUACUUCUGGUGGAAAAAGGCCGCUUUCGAAAGAACCAUACUGUAUGUUCCCAUCCACCAAACAGACCACCAUCCUCCAUAAGUGAAUUGGUCAGAGUUGCCUUUCUGCAUGACAACUUCAUGCUUUAAUAACAAUACAAGUAAUACUCAAAGAUGCACCUGGUUUUUCUUCUUUCCCAAGCACCCCUCCCCCUCCUCCUCCCUGCCCCGUUUUAAAGGGGGGAAAAAUAAAUGCACCAAGUGCGUCAAUCAGAAUUGGAAAAAUUUCCAUGUUAGGAUGAGUAAAGUAGUAUUUUACCAAUAAAAAAAUAGCUACAAAACCACAAGAUGAAUGAAAUAUGUCCAUUUUAAAAGACAGAAUAAGUUUACUGACAAGAAAAGUUCAAGCAGUCACUAGUCAAAACCACAUACUAUGGAUCAAAGAAUUUAUAGGAGUCAUGAUUUUAGAAUGAAAACAACUGCAGUCUAAGAUGCAGAAUACGAGACAUACUCCAGCUGCUCAAAGGCCCAAAAAAUUUCAGACGAAACAAUAAAAACAUCUAAUUCAGCUCCUAAACAUAAGUGAAGUGUAAUUACUAGAGCAUCCCAAGCGCAGGUGACGCAAAGGGUUAUUGACUGGCCAAUUGAUCACCAAGAGUCAAGUAUUAAACAAACUUUGCAGCACAACAAAAAUUAAUAUCAGAUUCUGUGUAAAUUUGAUAGUUCCCCAUUUAGUAGAUAAGGUAUUUAGAAUUGUAGUUUUGGUACAAGAUGUCAUUUUGAGUAACCAAGAAGGACAAGUUCAAUUACUUCAAAAUAUUUGCAUGCUUGCAGAAGUUCUAGCAAUAUCAAAAACUUAUCUUGUUUAGCUAAAAUUCUUCAGUAACAUAACAGGAGAAAUCUUCUCCUAUUCCAAUAAUAUAGAACAACAAUAUAACUUCUUCGGUCCGAAUUUAUUUUCACUUCUUGGUAUCAACUGAGACAAUGUAUUUGCUCCUUGAGGCAACUCUAAUGAACCAAACCUUAAUAUUGUUGAUAAAAUUUUUAGUUUCAUGGAUUCAAAACAUCCUUAUUUGGGGAUGGACGAAAAGUUUUCCUUCCAAUUCCAGGUAACAAGGAACAUGUAAAAGUUGAUGAUAGUUUUCGUCAACAUGUUUAUUCUACUUUGACAAACACUACUAUGUUCGACGAGUUAAAUUAGAACAAUAUUAUCAAAUACUACCAUAGCAAAGGAGCACAAAAGGCAGGACAUACAAAAAAGAGAAAGUUAGCCUUUUCCUCUCCAAAAAUUUAUAUCAAGCAUGUUCCAUUUCCAUAUAUAUAUAUUCGUCUCUCUCUCCCUCUCUCUGUCAUGCACAAACACACACAAUCUACGAUGUAGAUAUCUGCAUACAGAUCCGUCGUAAUGUACAAAGUUACAUUCACCGCUGCAGAAUAAGCAUAAUUCUAGUUUCAAAUGGUAGCCGGUUGUCAAAAUAAAAAAUAAAAAAUAAAAAAAGGAGAAGACAUACCGAUCUGUCAACCCAAUGCAUACGUGGUACAAACCCCACCAUUGUAUCAGGUGCACUUUGCCAAAUGCUAAAAGCCAAUUCAACUGAUGAGCAUGGGAAUAUGACAUCAUCAUCAAUCGAAAAUAGAGCAUCUGUCUUCAAAUUCUUGAUCUCUUUGAACCUAUUGUUCAAACUGUCUUCCCUAUUGAUGUCAAAUUUCAGUUCAAUUUGUUGACCAUCUCUGGAGUUUGAUUCUAUGACAUGGUUUAAAUAUUUAAUAAGAGAAACGGAGGGAGGAUCAGGCUCGCUCCAGACUAUGU